RNAcentral lists this ribosomal RNA (253 nucleotides) under uncultured bacterium. Its description in RNAcentral is "partial 16S ribosomal RNA". It matches the Rfam family "Bacterial small subunit ribosomal RNA", at positions 524 to 776 of the family's 1533-position model. The record is from RNAcentral.
UACGUAGGGUGCAAGCGUUGUCCGGAAUUAUUGGGCGUAAAGAGCUCGUAGGCGGUUUGUCACGUCGGAUGUGAAAACCCGGGGCUUAACCCCGGGCCUGCAUUCGAUACGGGCUGACUAGAGUUCGGCAGGGGAGACUGGAAUUCCUGGUGUAGCGGUGAAAUGCGCAGAUAUCAGGAGGAACACCGGUGGCGAAGGCGGGUCUCUGGGCCGAUACUGACGCUCAGGCACGAAAGCGUGGGGAGCAAACAGG